RNAcentral lists this ribosomal RNA (841 nucleotides) under Xanthoparmelia lineola. Its description in RNAcentral is "eukaryotic LSU rRNA". It matches the Rfam family "Eukaryotic large subunit ribosomal RNA", at positions 81 to 936 of the family's 3401-position model. Lineage: Eukaryota; Fungi; Ascomycota; Lecanoromycetes; Lecanorales; Parmeliaceae. RNAcentral also lists the same sequence under 2 other names. The record is from RNAcentral.
CAGUAACGGCGAGUGAAGCGGCAACAGCUCAAAUUUGAAAUCUGGCUCCUUUCGGGGUCCGAAUUGUAAUUUGUAGAGAGUGCUUCGGGCGAGACCUCGGUCUAAGUCCAUUGGAACAUGGUGUCAUAGAGGGUGAGAAUCCCGUAUGCGACCGUGGCUCGAGCCCAUGUGAAGCCUCUUCGACGAGUCGAGUUGUUUGGGAAUGCAGCUCAAAACGGGUGGUAAAUUUCAUCUAAAGCUAAAUACUGGCUGGAGACCGAUAGCGCACAAGUAGAGUGAUCGAAAGAUGAAAAGCACUUUGGAAAGAGAGUCAAACAGUACGUGAAAUUGUUGAAAGGGAAGCGCUUGCAACCAGACCUGCCCGUAGGCGAUCAGCCGCUGUUCUCAGCGGUGCACUCGCUCUGCGAUCAGGCCAGCAUCGGUUUCGGCGGUCGGAUAAAGGCCUUGGGAAUGUAGCUUCCCUUCGGGGGAGUCUUAUAGCCCUCGGUGCAAUGCGGCCAGCCGGGACCGAGGACCGCGCUUCGGCUAGGAUGCUGGCGUAAUGGUUGUAAGCGACCCGUCUUGAAACACGGACCAAGGAGUCUAACAUCUAUGCGAGUGUUUGGGUGUCAAACCCAUACGCGGAAUGAAAGUGAACGGAGGUGAGAACCCUUAAGGGCGCAUCAUCGACCGAUCCAGAUGUCUUCGGAUGGAUUUGAGUAUGAGCAUAGCUGUUGGGACCCGAAAGAUGGUGAACUAUGCCUGAAUAGGGUGAAGCCAGAGGAAACUCUGGUGGAGGCUCGCAGCGGUUCUGACGUGCAAAUCGAUCGUCAAAUUUGGGUAUAGGGGCGAAAGACUAAUC